Molecule: long non-coding RNA, 201 nt
Filed under: Gossypium raimondii (Peruvian cotton)
Lineage: Eukaryota; Viridiplantae; Streptophyta; Magnoliopsida; Malvales; Malvaceae
Description: long non-coding RNA (GRAI_LNC000703)
Source: RNAcentral
UGCAACAUCUAUCACCAAGCCAAGAUCCAUCCGUUCAAGACUUGGGAGUUUAGGUUCCAAAAAGGCUAGCCACAACAAGAAAACAAAAGCUCGAAUUCUAAAAGAGCCAAGGGAUUUUUGCAGCAAAAUUCCCUCGCAGAUGAAAAGGCACUUCGAAUUGAAGAUAACUACUAGUGAAGUCUUAAAAGCCAAACGACACAC